GACAGAGGUCCCGAGCGUUAGGCGGAAUCACUGGGCUUAAAGCGUGUGUAGGCGGAUGCCUAAGUACCUUGUGAAAUCCCACGGCUUAACCGUGGAACUGCUUGGUAUACUGGGUGUCUUGAGCCACUUAGGGGCUACCGGAACAAAUGGUGGAGCGGUGAAAUGCGUAGAUAUCAUUUGGAACGCCAAUGGUGAAAACAGGUAGCUGGGAGUGUGCUGACGCUGAGACACGAAAGCCAGGGGAGCAAACGGG
This 253-nucleotide ribosomal RNA is filed under the name uncultured bacterium. Its description in RNAcentral is "partial 16S ribosomal RNA". It matches the Rfam family "Bacterial small subunit ribosomal RNA", at positions 524 to 776 of the family's 1533-position model. The record is from RNAcentral.